GUUAUUUUAAAAUUUGAUUUUCCAAUAUUUUCUUUGCUAGUAUACAGCAUAUAUAGAAAUACAUAAAUAAUUGUAUGAUCAAGCCACCCAAGAUGGCUCUUCUCUUGCUCGCUGUACAACCCCUGCCCGACCAGUCCUCCUUCAUCUACACACUACUCACAUCACCAACCUUCCCUCCUAAUACAUACUUGCCCCCGGCCCCAGCUAGUGAUUGUUCUAAUCUUUAGAUCAGAGCACCUCCACGGUGAUAGCUUAUCAAAGGGACGGUGAGGGACGUGCCCCUCUGCUUGUUUCCCUGGUAACCGAUGAGCCAACCUGAUGUCAAUUCCCCCUAUAACCGGUGACCUCCCCGAGCCCUGGGAGCAAAGACUACUACCAUGUCCUGCCCGCUGUCUGCCGCACACCGUGGAGUGUUGCUCCAGGACAUGUAAGCUCCUCCAUCCAUUAAACCACUGAUGUCUGUGUCGCUCACUUCAGGCUCUUUCUUCGGUCUCGAGGCUGGGCAAGUGCAGGGCUUGCAGGCCUGUAGGGUGCAACGCAACAGUAAUACAUAGGGGUAUGCAAUCCAUAUGGAAUUGAUUUUUAUGUAUGGUAUGAGGGUUUCACAGAUGUGAUUUCAGGAUGGAGUUGGAAAAGUGAGAGUCCACUACUGCAGAAGAAACAAAAGGACAGGUUCCUCUUCAGCUAUAUAAUACCAUAAAUAAAUGAUCAUAUUCGCCACUUUUUGAAAUUACGAUGGCUAUCCUCAAGGGGAAAUUGGAAGAGGUGGAUUUCGAAUUGCCAAAAUAUCUUGGCCUGUUUUUAGUUUCCUGAACAAGGUGCUGAGCUAGAGGAGCUCUGAAGUCCAUUGCAUCUCAAGGUUUUUAGUCUCCCUGACCAGAGAGCACAAGGGAAGCCGGCAGCCAUUUCGGGGCUGAUGGAGGUGUGCUGGGUUUACAAAUGCCAAGCUGGCAAGCCCCAAGCUGGCUCCAUGGGGUGAGCCUCUGCUCUCUGGACAUGCUGGAAGCCACCCCCAAUUAGGACAUAACCUGCACUGAGGUUAAUUACUGAGGAUAUGGGUACCCUGUGGGUAUUUUCAGAAAUGCCGAAGUUCACACUCUGUGGUUGUUUGACUGUAAUGGCUAAUAAACUUUAACAAUGUUUUUGCAAGGAACUUUAUGACGAACACCAUACUAGGCUGAUUGUAUGGCAUUGUUAAUGGUGUCUUCAUGAAAUUUAUUACAUAUAUUU
Balaenoptera ricei (Rice's whale) is the source of this 1230-nucleotide long non-coding RNA. RefSeq lists it as uncharacterized. The transcript has 3 exons. Lineage: Eukaryota; Metazoa; Chordata; Mammalia; Artiodactyla; Balaenopteridae. The record is from RefSeq and is a predicted model, not a curated record.